CAGUCGCCGCGUAAUACGUAGGUGGCAAGCGUUGUCCGGAAUUAUUGGGCGUAAAGGGCUCGCAGGCGGUUUCUUAAGUCUGAUGUGAAAGCCCCCGGCUCAACCGGGGAGGGUCAUUGGAAACUGGGAAACUUGAGUGCAGAAGAGGAGAGUGGAAUUCCACGUGUAGCGGUGAAAUGCGUAGAGAUGUGGAGGAACACCAGUGGCGAAGGCGACUCUCUGGUCUGUAACUGACGCUGAGGAGCGAAAGCGUGGGGAGCGAACAGGAUUAGAUACCCCGGUAGUCCCUGUCUCUUAUACA
RNAcentral lists this ribosomal RNA (301 nucleotides) under uncultured bacterium. RNAcentral describes it as "partial 16S ribosomal RNA". It matches the Rfam family "Bacterial small subunit ribosomal RNA", at positions 509 to 808 of the family's 1533-position model. The record is from RNAcentral.